GCCUCCGCCCCGUCGCCGGCCUCCGUCCGCGGCAUCCGCGCCGUCCGCCGUGGGGCAGGCUACCUGCCCUCGUCGCCGUAGCCGUCACCGUCUGCCGUCCAAGCAUCGCCGCACCGUCCCAGCCGUCGGAGCCGCCGCUGAGUUUGCCUCUGUCGUCGCCAAAUCCCAGUUCGCCUCUGCCGAGUCCGCCGCCCUCGCUGCCGCCGUCAGUCGAAUCUGCCUCUGCCCUCUGCAGAUCGAGCUGCCGAGUCCGCCGCCGGACAAGGCAAGCUGUUGUUCUUGUUCUUGUACUGCAAAUAGAACAAGAACGAGAACACUAUAAGUUG
RNAcentral lists this long non-coding RNA (326 nucleotides) under Oryza brachyantha (malo sina). Its description in RNAcentral is "long non-coding RNA (OBRA_LNC001592)". The record is from RNAcentral. Lineage: Eukaryota; Viridiplantae; Streptophyta; Magnoliopsida; Poales; Poaceae.